AGGGAAUAUUGCGCAAUGGAGGAAACUCUGACGCAGCGACGCCGCGUGAGCGAUGAAGGUCUUCGGAUCGUAAAGCUCUGUCCUUGGGGAAGAAGGUCUUCGGACUUGACGGUACCCAAGGAGGAAGCCCCGGCUAACUACGUGCCAGCAGCCGCGGUAAUACGUAGGGGGCAAGCGUUGUCCGGAAUUAUUGGGCGUAAAGGGUGCGCAGGCGGCCUUUUAAGUCAGGUGUGAAAGCCCACGGCUUAACCGUGGGAUUGCAUUUGAAACUGGAGGGCUUGAGUAUCGGAGAGGGUAGUGGAAUUCCCAGUGUAGCGGUGAUAUGCGUAGAUAUUGGGAGGAACACCAGUGGCGAAGGCGACUACCUGGACGAUUACUGACGCUCAUGCACGAAAGCUAGGGGAGCAAAC
This 410-nucleotide ribosomal RNA is filed under the name uncultured bacterium. Its description in RNAcentral is "bacterial SSU rRNA". It matches the Rfam family "Bacterial small subunit ribosomal RNA", at positions 356 to 773 of the family's 1533-position model. The record is from RNAcentral.